AUUGAACGCUGGCGGCAUGCUUUACACAUGCAAGUCGAACGGUAACGCGGGGGCAACCCUGGCGACGAGUGGCGAACGGGUGAGUAAUACAUCGGAACAUAUCCAGUAGCGGGGGAUAACCUAUCGAAAGAUGGACUAAUACCGCAUACGAUCUACGGAUGAAAGCAGGGGACCGCAAGGCCUUGCACUAUUGGAGUGGCCGAUGUCGGAUUAGCUAGUUGGUGAGGUAAAGGCUUACCAAGGCAACGAUCCGUAGCUGGUCUGAGAGGACGAUCAGCCACACUGGAACUGAGAGACGGUCCAGACUCCUACGGGAGGCAGCAGUAGGGAAUAUUGGGCAAUGGGCGAAAGCCUGACCCAGCCAUGCCGCGUGAAGGAAGACGGCCUUAUGGGUUGUAAACUUCUUUACUACGCGAAUAGAGGUUAGUACGAGAUACUAAUAGGAAGGUAGUGUAGUAAAAAGCACCGGCUAACUCCGUG
This 480-nucleotide ribosomal RNA is filed under the name uncultured bacterium. RNAcentral's name for it is "bacterial SSU rRNA". It matches the Rfam family "Bacterial small subunit ribosomal RNA", at positions 30 to 507 of the family's 1533-position model. The record is from RNAcentral.